Molecule: long non-coding RNA, 80 nt
Organism: Myotis davidii
Lineage: Eukaryota; Metazoa; Chordata; Mammalia; Chiroptera; Vespertilionidae
Exons: 3
Source: RefSeq, a predicted model, not a curated record
GCUCUUCCCAUCUGCAGUAAGACCAAGAAGAAAAUGGCCGAGGUCAUUAUUGUCCACAUUGUUCAAAAGUGGAGAGAGAG